CAAAUUAGAUCUUGAUAAAGUAUUUCAUUUACAUUGAAAUGAUAUUGAAAAUAAUUCAAUUAAUUUGA
This 68-nucleotide transfer RNA is filed under the name Glyphodes pyloalis. Its description in RNAcentral is "tRNA-Val". The record is from RNAcentral. Lineage: Eukaryota; Metazoa; Arthropoda; Insecta; Lepidoptera; Crambidae.